This 609-nucleotide ribosomal RNA is filed under the name uncultured fungus. RNAcentral's name for it is "eukaryotic LSU rRNA". The stretch from base 170 to 323 matches the Rfam family "5.8S ribosomal RNA". Lineage: Eukaryota; Fungi. The record is from RNAcentral.
AAGUCGUGCACGCUGGAGGGUGUCCUCUCACAUAAUAAUCCAUCUCACCCUUUGUGCAUCACCGCGUGGGCACCCUUUGGGAUCGGACCGAUCUCGGAAGGGGGCCCGCGUUUUCACACAAACCCCCCCAUCUAAAAGUGUAGAAUGUCCUCAUUUAUGCAAUAAAUACAACUUUCAACAACGGAUCUCUUGGCUCUCGCAUCGAUGAAGAACGCAGCGAAAUGCGAUACGUAAUGUGAAUUGCAGAAUUCAGUGAAUCAUCGAAUCUUUGAACGCACCUUGCGCCCCUUGGCAUUCCGAGGGGCACACCCGUUUGAGUGUCGUGAAAUUCUCAAAAACCUUUUUCUUUUUGGGAAAGGGUUUUUGGACUUGGAGGCUUUUUGCUGGCUUCACCUUGAAGUGAGCUCCUCCUAAAUGAAUCAGUGGGGUCCGCUUUGCCGAUCCUUGACGUGAUAAGAUGUUUCUGCGUCUUUGGGUUUGGCACUGUCACCUGCUUCUAACUGUCUCAUUGACAAUGAUGGUGCUCCGGUCACCACCGCUCUUAUCGGUGGGAGGCUUGACCCACAAAAACAAAACCUUGACCUCAAAUCGGGUGAGACUACCCGCUGA